Molecule: ribosomal RNA, 162 nt
Filed under: Papaver heterophyllum
Lineage: Eukaryota; Viridiplantae; Streptophyta; Magnoliopsida; Ranunculales; Papaveraceae
Description: 5.8S ribosomal RNA
Rfam family: 5.8S ribosomal RNA
About the family: 5.8S ribosomal RNA (5.8S rRNA) is a component of the large subunit of the eukaryotic ribosome.
Source: RNAcentral
AACGACUCUCGGCAACGGAUAUCUCGGCUCUCGCAUCGAUGAAGAACGUAGCGAAAUGCGAUACUUGGUGUGAAUUUGCAGAAUCCCGUGAACCAUCGAGUUUUUGAACGCAAGUUGCGCSCCAAGCCUUCGGGCCGAGGGCACGCUUGCCUGGGCGUCACG